Molecule: unclassified non-coding RNA, 326 nt
Filed under: soil metagenome
Description: partial contains 5.8S ribosomal RNA, internal transcribed spacer 2, and large subunit ribosomal RNA
Rfam family: 5.8S ribosomal RNA (bases 1-120)
Source: RNAcentral
GAUGAAGAACGUAGUGAAAUGCGAUAAGUAAUGUGAAUUGCAGAAUUCAGUGAAUCAUCGAAUCUUUGAACGCACAUUGCGCCCCUUGGUAUUCCGGGGGGCAUGCCUGUUCGAGCGUCAUUAUAACCCCUCAAGCUCAGCUUGGUGUUGGGGCCUGCCAACUGGCAGCCCUUAAGAUCAGUGGCGGCGCCAUCUGGCUCUAAGCGUAGUAAUUUCUCUCGCUAUAGGGUCCCGGUGGAUGCUUGCCAACAACCCCCAAUUUUCUAUGGUUGACCUCGGAUCAGGUAGGGAUACCCGCUGAACUUAAGCAUAUCAAAAGCGGAGGA